RNA transcript from Epinephelus moara (kelp grouper), 5282 nucleotides. It is a transcript of the gene named 2-acylglycerol O-acyltransferase 1-like, with no coding region annotated. The transcript has 6 exons. NCBI's taxonomy places the organism in Eukaryota, Metazoa, Chordata, Actinopteri, Perciformes, Serranidae. The record is from RefSeq and is a predicted model, not a curated record.
CGUGUCAGCGUGGGUUUCCUCCAGGUGCUCUGAAAUGUUCUCCCCGUGUCGGCGUGGGUUUCCUCCAGGUGCUCUGACAUGUUGUCCCCGUGUCGGCGUGGGUUUCCUCCGGGUGCUCCGACAUGUUGUCCCCGUGUUGGCGUGGGUUUUCUCCGGGUGCUCCGACAUGUUGUCCCCGUGUUGGCGUGGGUUUUCUCCGGGUGCUCUGACAUGUUCUCCCCGUGUCGGCGUGGGUUUCCUCUGAGUUCUCCGACAUGUUCUCCCUGUGUCGGCGUGGGUUUCCUCCAGGUGCUCCGACAUGUUCUCCCUGUGUCGGCGUGGGUUUCCUCCAGGUGCUCCGACAUGUUCUCCCUGUGUCAGCGUGGGUUUCCUCCAGGUGCUCCAACAUGUCCCAACAAACAGACAGAGUUAAUAAUCAGCUUCCUAGUCCCUGUUUUCUGUGACUGAGGCUGCAGGGUUUGUUGAUCCAGCUCAGACAGAGUCAUUUGGACUCUGAGACCGCUGGACUUUGUUUGGUCCUUCAUCAGCUGUUUAAAAUAAACGCUUCAGUGUUUAGAAUAAACAGCUGUUUGGAGAAUAAACACAUCACAGGAAGUGACUCAGUCCUCUCCUGCGUCCAUCUGAACUGUCGAUCAGACAGACUGAGACAAGACGCUGUCCUCAAAGACACCAACCUGAAGACAGCAGCUGACUCAGUUAGACAAACAACGCUCUGAUGUUUCACAGUGACGUUAAUUCAUCCUGAAAAUAUCUGUUGGAUCAGAUAGGUUCUGUAGGGUUAACAUUAUUAUUAUUAUUAUUAUUGAUAUUAUUUACACAUAGAACAGCACCAUAUGUGAGACUAUCUGCUGUGACCCAGUGUUCAUAUUCUAUAUGAACUUGUUAUAUAAAGUUUGAUGAUGUUUCAGUCCUCUUCAUAUGUGUGAUGAUUUUAUUCAUUCAGAUUCCUUUUUUCUUUAAAAUCUAUAGUUUGAUUAAAAACAGAUUUAUUGAUUUUUGGCUCCAGCUGCUCAGCGGGAAACUCUGCUUCAGUGUUCCACCUUUGCUGACUCGCUGUGUGGAAACAAAACCACACCUGCCGUCACCUGGAGACCCACUGACGCUCCAGUCUCUGCUCCUGAUAUGUGGAGCAUCCUCAAAGUCACAGUCCUAUUUUUGUUUGUGGUUCUGCUGCUCGGUGUCGGUAUCACCCUGUGGUCGUGCAGAAGCCACAAAUGGAACAAACUUAAAGGUCUGGAUCAGCUGUGACUGAUGCGGAAAUGAUCACAUUCAGAGUUUGUCUUUGCCAGAGACGGCUGUUGGAUCAGAUCCAGCUCUCAUCACAACCACCAAGUGGGGCAGCAGAACCCAAGUCCAGGUGCUGUCCAGGUGCAGCCCUGUCUGAGGCCAGUCUGAGUCCAGGAUUAGUCCCCGUUCAGUCCAGGUGCUGUCCUGGUGCAGCCCUGUCUGAGGCCAGUCUGAGGCCAGGAUUAGUCCACGUUCAGUCCAGGUGCUGUCCAGGUUCAGUCCAGGUGCUGUCCAGUUACAGUCCAGGUGCUGUCCAGGUUCAGUCGAGGUGCUGUCCAGGUGCAGCCCUGUCUGAGGCCGGUCCGAGUCCAGGAUUAGUCCAGUUUCAGUCCAGGUUCAGUGCAGGAUUAGUACAGGUGUAGUCCAGGUUCAGUCCAGGUGUAGUUAAGAGUUAGUCAAGGUGUAAACCAGAUUUAGGUCAACUGUGGUCCAGGUUAGGUGAGAGGUAGAGUUAGUUGAGGUGUAGCCGAGAGUAAGUCAAAGUGUAGUCCAGAUUUAGUCCGGGAGUAGUUUUGAGUUAGUCGAGGUGUAGUCCAGAUUUAGUCCAGCUGUAGGCCAGGUGUAGUCCAAAGUCAGUCCAGGUGUAGUCCAAAGUCAGUCCAGGUGUAGUUAAGAGUUAGUCCAGGUGUUGUCCAGGUGUAACCAAGAUUUAGUCCAGGUGUAGUCCAGGUGUAACCAAGAUUUAGUCCAGCUGUAGGCCAGGUGUAGUCCAAAGUCAGUCCAGGUGUAGUUAAGAGUUAGUCCAGGUGUAGUCCAGGUGUAACCAAGAUUUAGUCCAGCUGUAGGCCAGGUGUAGUCCAAAGUCAGUCCAGGUGUAGUCCAAAGUCAGUCCAGGUGUAGUCCAAAGUCAGCCCAGGUGUAGUCCAGGUGUAGUCCAUUAUAUACUAAUUUGGUCCCCCUGUCAGCCAAUCAGAUUGAAGAAGAGCUCCUUAUCUGUGUUUAACAGAACAACAUGCUGUGACAUCACUUCCUGUGGGGUACCACAGUUAUUUUCUUUCUUUAAGUGCUGAUGAUGCUCAGUGGACUUGAAGACAGGGUGUCUCCCUCUGCUGGUGGAGUCUGGUACUGCAGCGCUCUGCGGCUCUGUUUACUACAUCCAGUUAAAUAAAAAAACUUUAUUUAAAAUCAGUUUAAUAAAAUGAGGUUUGAAGGCGACCUGAGAGAAAACCAGCAGAGACCUGAUCCUUCAGAGACCUGAUCCUGCAGAGACCUGAUCCUUCAGAGACCUGAUCCUGCAGAGACCUGACUCACUGUCCCCCUGUCUCAGUGUCUCAGAGUCUCACUGUCUCACUGUCUCACUGUCCCCCUGUCUCACUGCCCCCCGUCUCCCUGUCUCAUUGUCCCAGAGUCUCACUGUCUCCGUCUCUCUCACUGUCUCACUGUCCCCCUGUCUCAUUGUUUUGCUGUCUCCCAGCGUCUCUCACUGUCCCAUUGUCUCACUGUCCCCCUGUCUCACUGUUUCGCUGUCUCCCAGCCUCUCUCAUUGUCUCACUGUCCCCCUGCCUCAGUGUCCCAGAGUCUCAUUGUCCCCCAGCCUCUCUCACUGUCUCACUGUCCCCCUGCCUCAGUGUCCCAGAGUCUCACUGUCUCACUGUCCCCCAGCCUCUCUCACUGUCUCACUGUCCCCCAGUCUCUCUCACUGUCUCGCUGUCUCCCAGUGUCUCUCACUGUCUCAUUGUCCCCCUGUCUCAUUGUCUCACUGUCUCCCAGCGUCUCUCACUGUCUCACUGUCCCCCUAUCUCAUUGUCUCCCAGUGUCUCUCACUGUCUCACUGUCCCCCUGUCUCACUGUCUCACUGUCUCAGCAUCUCUCACUGUUGGACAUUAAGGAUUCAGUUUGAGUCAAACUCCAACAACACUGCAGCCUACAUUUCCCAUGAUGCCCCUGACUCCUCCAGAGCCACAGGGGACGUCAGCCUGCAGACUGGGGACCAAAUUUACCUGUUGAAUCAGAGCACAGUUUGUCAUCAGUGGGCUAGCUGUAACCAUGGUAACGUCAGCCGACUGUAACCAUGGUAACGGCAGGUUCUGGGCCCAGGUGUCUGCAUGUUGUUCUGUUACUGAUGUUUCCUUGUUGUCAUGUGACUGUUUGUGAUGCAGCCAAUAAAAACCCGUCUGAGAAACUUUAUCCUUAAAUCUGAAUUCAAACACGAGGUCAUGUGACGCCUGUGUGGUAUGAAACAUGACACCAUGACAGAGUUAACCCCACGUUGGGACCAGACCAGCUGUGAAAGGGUUAAACUGAGACAGCUGGAGGGAGGCGGGGUCUCACACACACACACACACACACACACUCACACACACACCCCUUAUCAGUUGUCACCGCGGCAACGGACAGGAAGCAACACAAACUUCCACACCCAUAAUGUUACCGUGUGUGAUGACAUCAUCAGGGGGAGGAGUUCAGUGAAGAUCACAGAUCAGAGACGUCUGUCGUCACACUGAGCUCAUUUAAUUAAUUUAAUUUAGUGUGAGAGAAAAGUCAAAUACAGAACAACAUUUCACCAAACAACAAAUCAGUCAUAAACACUUUAUUGACCCGUGAUUGGUUAGAGUCGCGCUGACGUUAAGAAGGGAGAAAUAAAAGUGUGUAAAUAUGAAAUGAUAAAACAUAAUGAGCAUCAUGCUGCAGUGUUUCAUGAAUAAUAACAAACAACAACAGAAUCCAAGUAAACAAACAGGACCAAUCACAGACGUGAUGAACAAACAGGUUACCUGUCUGUCACUGAGACAAACACCUGAGCUCAGUCCAACCUGAGGGACAGUGACAGAGUGAGAGGGGUCAGAGGUCAUGUUAACUGUCAGCAGAUUCAUGUGUUCAUCGCUCGGAGCUGAGGCUGCUGAUGAAGUGAUGAAACACACACAUGUUGAAAGACGUGAGGAAACACAGAGUUGAAUCCUCCCACAGCUCACACUCAUCCUCACCUCCUCAUUGAUAUUCACACUGUGACGUAAUGUGGUGAACAUAAAGAGUAAUCUGAUUACUUUAUAUAAAGUAAAUACACACGGUGAGUCUCACUUCAUGUUUCAUUAUUGUCGGACUGAUCCUCGGGUCAGCAACGUGCACGCGCUCCCCAAGUUUCGUCAUGAGCUCUGAUUGGCCGAGAGGAUUCCACCCAGAAGGGAGUGUCUGGUGCGCAUGCGUAGAAGGGGAGGGAGGGGGCGCGUGUUUGUAAAGUUUGGGGGAAGUCGAGACAGAGAGAGAGAGAGAGAGAGAGAGAGAGAGAGAGAGAAAGGUUCAACAAAGUUUACUAAAUACUUUUAGUCUCUGCUGCACAGCUGCCCGACACACCGAGGGACAGACUGAGAGACAGACUGAGGGACACACUGAGAGACAGACUGAGGGACACACUGAGAGACAGGGAGACAGACAGGAGAGGAGAGAGGAGCUCCGAUAUCCAGACGGAGACACCGGGAGGUCGCAGUGCUCCAAGCCGGACCAGGGCGCGCGACCAGCGGCAUGAAGGUGGAGUUCGCCCCGCUGAACAUCCCGCUGCGGAGGAGACUGCAGACCGCCGCGACUCUGCAGUGGGUCUUCUCCUUCCUGGCUCUAGCUCAAUGCUGUCCCUCUGUCUGUCUGUCCCUCAGCUCACUGCUGUCCCUCUGACUGUCUGGCUGUCCCUCUGUCUGUCUGUCUGUCCCUGAGCUCAGUGCUGUCCCUCUGACUGUCUGUCUGUCCCUCUGCUCAGUGCUGUUCCUCUGUCUGUCUGUCUGUCUGUCCCUUAGCUGUCCCUCAGCUCUGUGCUGUCUCCCUCCCGGCACUCUGCCUGUCGGUCCCUCAGCUGUCCCUCUGUCUGUCCCUCAGCUCCAUGCUGUCCCUCUGUCUGUCUUUCUGUCUGUCCCUCAGCUCAGUGCUGUCCCUCUGACUGUCUGUCUGUCCCUCAGCUCAGUGCUGUCCCUCUGUCUGUCCCUCAGCUCAGUGCUGUCCCUCUGUCUGUCCCUCAGCUCCGUGCUGUACCUCUGCCUGUCUGUCCCUCAGUUGUCCCUCUGUCUGUC